This 213-nucleotide ribosomal RNA is filed under the name uncultured bacterium. RNAcentral describes it as "partial 16S ribosomal RNA". It matches the Rfam family "Bacterial small subunit ribosomal RNA", at positions 355 to 559 of the family's 1533-position model. The record is from RNAcentral.
UAGGGAAUCUUCCACAAUGGACGCAAGUCUGAUGGAGCAACGGCCGCGUGAGUGAAGAAGGUUUUCGGACCGUAAAGCUCUGUUGUUGGUGAAGAAGGAUAGAGGUAGUAACUGGCCUUUAUUUGACGGUAAUCAACCAGAAAGUCACGGCUAACUACGUGCCAGCAGCCGCGGUAAAUCGUAGGUGGCAAGCGUUGUCCGGAUUUAUUGGGC